GCUCUGGGGGCAGGACGGGGACAGGAUCGGGGCAGCAGAGCCCCCACAGGGCAGGAAGGGGGGGACAAAUUGCCCCCUCUCUUCCCUGACAUCGCUCCCAGGUUCAGCUGCUGUCAGGGCUGAGGGGGCUCCCUGCCACCUCAACCCGGGACGAGUCCUUCCUCCCAGCUUUCACAGUGUCAUCAAAAAAAUCAGAUUUUUGAAUUUUGGAGUGUCUUGGAAACAGAAGUUAAAUCUGAUUUCAGCUGACAAAACUGUUUUCUGGUUAUGCAAACUUAUCUCUGGGCAAACUAACCAUGGAAAUACAAGAAUUUACUCAAUUCUUGGCAGAACAUGAAGCCUCGGUCUACCUCAUUAUACCUUCCGGUGGCUGCAGCUGUUUUUUUGCGCCUGUUCACUUUCUACAAGAGUUUCAAGUUGUGGACAGUCUUUCCCAAUGCCACACAACCAAUGUCCUGAUUUUUCACCAAUAUCAUUGUGAUAAAUAGAAGAUGGUUAAAUGCAUCCAUUCUAGGCCAGUCAGUAGGAAGAAACAAGAUUGCAGGCACGCCUACUGAAAUCACUCAACCAAUUGAAGAAACAGAAUGGGAUUUGGAUUAUAGGGUUUCAGAUAAUACCAAGUUCCUUGUGAAAGACAUGUAUCUGUCAAGCUCGUGAUCACUAAAUGUGAUUCUGUCACACUGAAAAAAAUGUAUCUGUGACAAAGAUGAGAUGACUGUGAACAAGGCCAAUGACACUGAGCUACAGCAGGACAGAAUAAAGCAGAAGCUCUUUGACUCCUGGUGACUUGAGUUCAAGUCCCAAAUGGACUUCUGAUCAGCAGGAUAGCUGAUUUCUGAAUAAAGAGAGAGAAAAAAUGUGUAAACUUGGUGAAGUGCUCCACAAGUUCCAGCUUGCAAACCUCGCAGAGAGUGCAGCCCAUCCAGCUCACAGACUCUCACCUAAUACAACAUGCUGUUUGGUUAUACUUUUCACUAAACACAAGAUGAAAAGACUAUCGUAAUGUGUCUGACUGCAAGGCAAAAAUCUCAGAAAAUGGAGAGGUUGAGAAUGGUUGUAUAUUCUGCACAACUUUGGAAGUGACAUGUUAGUAAUGGUCCAUGGCAAAAAAAAAAGCUGCUGCAUCCAGACAAUUCUUUGGUAAGAACAAGUUUUAUUUAAUGGUAUAAAAAUGGAUGGCUAGGAAGAGAAUGAGAUAGACUAUUCUAAGUAAUGUAUCAUGAAAAAAAAAUAGAAUUUAACUUAGGAUGACACUUGAAAUGAAAAUAGUCUGGACAAAGAUGAAGUUUGCAGAUCCUAAGGCAAGAAUCUUUGUGUUUGUAUAUUUCUCACAGUUUAUUUAUAACAACUGGAAUUUCAUCGUUGUUGAUUUUCAAGUUGUU
This is a long non-coding RNA of Cygnus olor (mute swan), 1382 nucleotides long. RefSeq lists it as uncharacterized. The transcript has 9 exons. NCBI's taxonomy places the organism in Eukaryota, Metazoa, Chordata, Aves, Anseriformes, Anatidae. The record is from RefSeq and is a predicted model, not a curated record.